Molecule: ribosomal RNA, 492 nt
Filed under: uncultured bacterium
Lineage: Bacteria
Description: partial 16S ribosomal RNA
Rfam family: Bacterial small subunit ribosomal RNA
Source: RNAcentral
AGUGAACGCUGGCGGUAGGCCUAACACAUGCAAGUCGAACGGCAGCACAGUAAGAGCUUGCUCUUACGGGUGGCGAGUGGCGGACGGGUGAGGAAUACAUCGGAAUCUACUUUUUCGUGGGGGAUAACGUAGGGAAACUUACGCUAAUACCGCAUACGACCUACGGGUGAAAGCAGGGGAUCUUCGGACCUUGCGCGAUUGAAUGAGCCGAGGUCGGAUUAGCUAGUUGGCGGGGUAAAGGCCCACCAAGGCGACGAUCCGUAGCUGGUCUGAGAGGAUGAACAGCCACACUGGAACUGAGAGGCGGUCCAGACUCCUACGGGAGGCAGAAGUGGGGAAUAUUGGAAAAUGGGCGCAAGCCUGAUCCAGCCAUACCGCGUGGGUGAAGAAGGCCUGCGGGUUGUAAAGCCCUUUUGUUGGGAAAGAAAAGCAGCAGGUUAAUACCCCGCUGUUCUGACGGUACCCAAAGAAUAAGCACCGGCUAACUUCGUG